Molecule: ribosomal RNA, 637 nt
Filed under: uncultured ciliate
Lineage: Eukaryota; Ciliophora
Description: bacterial SSU rRNA
Rfam family: Eukaryotic small subunit ribosomal RNA
Source: RNAcentral
UGGUAGUGUAUUGGACUACCAUAGCGGUCACGGGUAGCGGGGAAUUAGGGUUCGAUUCCGGAGAGGGAGCCUGAGAAACGGCUACCAUUUCUACGGAAGGCAGCAGGCGCGUAAAUUACCCAAUCCUGAUUCAGGGAGGUAAUUAAUAGACAUAACAAUUCCGGCCUUUUGGCUUUGGAAAGGUAAUGAGCUAAGUUUAAGUAUCUUAGCGAAAUCUAUUGGAGGGCAAGUCUGGUGCCAGCAGCCGCGGUAAUUCCAGCUCCAAUAGCGUAUGUUAAUUUUGCUGCAAUUAAAAAGCUCGUAGUUGAAUUUCCGGCAUACGAAAGUAUGUCUGUCUGAUGCGAUUAUCGAUACAGAAAUGUUUUGGUAACCCGCGCAGACCUUUACUGUGAAUAAAUUAGAGUGCUCAAAACAGGCGUUUGCUUGAAUAUUUUAGCAUGGAAUAAUAAAAUACGACUUUCUUGAUUUUAUUGGUUAUUUAAGAAAGUAAUGAUUAACAGGAACAGUUGGGGGCAUUCGUACUUAACAGUCAGAGGUGAAAUUCUUAGAUUUGUUAAAGACGAACUAAUGCGAAAGCAUUUGCCAAGGAUGUUUUCAUUAAUCAAGAACGAAAGUUAGGGGAUCAAAGACGAUUAGA